This 503-nucleotide ribosomal RNA is filed under the name uncultured bacterium. Its description in RNAcentral is "partial 16S ribosomal RNA". It matches the Rfam family "Bacterial small subunit ribosomal RNA", at positions 28 to 523 of the family's 1533-position model. The record is from RNAcentral.
GACGAACGCUGGCGGCGUGCUUAACACAUGCAAGUCGAGCGGGGUGAUGGUGCUUGCACUAUCACUUAGCGGCGGACGGGUGAGUAAUGCUUAGGAAUCUGCCUAUUAGUGGGGGACAACAUCUCGAAAGGGAUGCUAAUACCGCAUACGUCCUACGGGAGAAAGCAGGGGAUCACUUGUGACCUUGCGCUAAUAGAUGAGCCUAAGUCGGAUUAGCUAGUUGGUGGGGUAAAGGCCUACCAAGGCGACGAUCUGUAGCGGGUCUGAGAGGAUGAUCCGCCGCACUGGGACUGAGACACGGCCCAGACUCCUACGGGAGGCAGCAGUGGGGAAUAUUGGACAAUGGGGGGAACCCUGAUCCAGCCAUGCCGCGUGUGUGAAGAAGGCCUUAUGGUUGUAAAGCACUUUAAGCGAGGAGGAGGCUCUUUUGGUUAAUACCCAAGAUGAGUGGACGUUACUCGCAGAAUAAGCACCGGCCAACUCUGUGCCAGCAGCCGCCGUAA